RNAcentral lists this ribosomal RNA (439 nucleotides) under Bacillus sp. KT-1. Its description in RNAcentral is "bacterial SSU rRNA". It matches the Rfam family "Bacterial small subunit ribosomal RNA", at positions 412 to 843 of the family's 1533-position model. Lineage: Bacteria; Bacillati; Bacillota; Bacilli; Caryophanales; Bacillaceae. The record is from RNAcentral.
AGGCCUUCGGGUCGUAAAGCUCUGUUGUUAGGGAAGAACAAGUGCCGAGUAACUAUCGGCACCUUGACGGUACCUAACCAGAAAGCCACGGCUAACUACGUGCCAGCAGCCGCGGUAAUACGUAGGUGGCAAGCGUUGUCCGGAAUUAUUGGGCGUAAAGCGCGCGCAGGCGGUUCUUUAAGUCUGAUGUGAAAGCCCCCGGCUCAACCGGGGAGGGUCAUUGGAAACUGGGGAACUUGAGUGCAGAAGAGGAGAGCGGAAUUCCACGUGUAGCGGUGAAAUGCGUAGAGAUGUGGAGGAACACCAGUGGCGAAGGCGGCUCUCUGGUCUGUAACUGACGCUGAGGCGCGAAAGCGUGGGGAGCAAACAGGAUUAGAUACCCUGGUAGUCCACGCCGUAAACGAUGAGUGCUAAGUGUUGGAGGGUAUCCACCCUUCAG